Molecule: ribosomal RNA, 446 nt
Filed under: uncultured bacterium
Lineage: Bacteria
Description: bacterial SSU rRNA
Rfam family: Bacterial small subunit ribosomal RNA
Source: RNAcentral
UCGAGGAUCUUCGGCAAUGGGCGCAAGCCUGACCGAGCGACGCCGCGUGCGGGAUGAAGGCCUUCGGGUUGUAAACCGCUGUCAGUGGGGAGGAAAUGCAGGUGGGUUCUCCCAUCUGUUUGACCUAUCCGCAGAGGAAGGAUGGGCUAAGUUCGUGCCAGCAGCCGCGGUAAGACGAACCAUCCAAACGUUAUUCGGAAUUACUGGGCUUAAAGGGUGCGUAGGCUGCGCAGAAAGUUGGGUGUGAAAUCCCUCGGCUUAACCGAGGAACUGCGCCCAAAACUACUGUGCUUGAGGGAGACAGAGGUGAGCGGAACUUAGGGUGGAGCGGUGAAAUGCGUUGAUAUCCUAAGGAACACCCGUGGCGAAAGCGGCUCACUGGGUCUCUUCUGACGCUGAUGCACGAAAGCUAGGGGAGCGAACGGGAUUAGAUACCCCCGUAGUCC